Molecule: regulatory RNA element, 46 nt
Organism: Felis catus (domestic cat)
Lineage: Eukaryota; Metazoa; Chordata; Mammalia; Carnivora; Felidae
Rfam family: Histone 3' UTR stem-loop
About the family: The mRNAs of metazoan histone genes lack a poly-A tail. 3' end processing occurs at a site between a highly conserved stem-loop (modelled by this family) and a purine rich region around 20 nts downstream (the histone downstream element, or HDE). The stem-loop is bound by a 31 kDa stem-loop binding protein (SLBP - also termed the histone hairpin binding protein, or HBP).
Source: Rfam
CAAAAGGCCCUUCUAAGGGCCACCCACGAAAUCUGUUAAGGAGCUG